GACGAACGCUGGCGGCGUGCUUAACACAUGCAAGUCGAACGGAAAGGCCCUGCUUUUGUGGGGUGCUCGAGUGGCGAACGGGUGAGUAACACGUGAGUAACCUGCCCUUGACUUUGGGAUAACUUCAGGAAACUGGGGCUAAUACCGGAUAGGAGCUCCUGCUGCAUGGGGGGGGUUGGAAAGUUUCGGCGGUUGGGGAUGGAUUCGAGGCUUAUCAGCUUGUUGGUGGGGUAGUGGCUUACCAAGGCUUUGACGGGUAGCCGGCCUGAGAGGGUGACCGGCCACAUUGGGACUGCGAUACGGCCCAGACUCCUACGGGAGGCAGCAGGGGGGAAUAUGGCACAAUGGGCGGAAGCCUGAUGCAGCAACGCUGCGUGCGGGAUGACGGCCUUCGGGUUGUAAACCGCUUUCGCCUGUGACGAAGCGUGAGUGACGGUAACGGGUAAAGAAGCACCGGCUAACUACGUG
This 468-nucleotide ribosomal RNA is filed under the name uncultured bacterium. RNAcentral's name for it is "partial 16S ribosomal RNA". It matches the Rfam family "Bacterial small subunit ribosomal RNA", at positions 28 to 507 of the family's 1533-position model. The record is from RNAcentral.